UGUCUUCUCUUCUCUCCUCCGCUCUUCUCCCGCGAGCAAGCCCCGACGAGGAUGCUCUCUCCUCCGCUCUUCUCCCGCGGGCAAGCCCCGACGAGGAUGCUCUCUCCUCCGCUCUUCUCCCGUGGGCAAGCCCCGAUGAGGAUGCUCUCUCCUCUGCUCUUCUCCCGCGGGCAAGCCCCGACGAGGAUGCUCUCUCCUCCGCUCUUCUCCUGC
This 213-nucleotide long non-coding RNA is filed under the name Phoenix dactylifera (date palm). RNAcentral describes it as "long non-coding RNA (PDAC_LNC016054)". Lineage: Eukaryota; Viridiplantae; Streptophyta; Magnoliopsida; Arecales; Arecaceae. The record is from RNAcentral.